GAAAUGCGAUAACUAGUGUGAAUUGCAGAAUUCCGUGAAUCAUCGAGUCUUUGAACGCACAUUGCGCCCCCUGGUAUUCCAGGGGGCAUGCCUGUCCGAGCGUCAUUGCUGCCCAUCAAGCACGGCUUGUGUGUUGGGUCGUCGUCCCCUCUCCGGGGGGGACGGGCCCCAAAGGCAGCGGCGGCACCGCGUCCGAUCCUCGAGCGUAUGGGGCUUUGUCACCCGCUCUGUAGGCCCGGCCGGCGCUUGCCGAACGCAAAUCAAUCUUUUUCCAGGUUGACCUCGGAUCAGGUAGGGAUACCCGCUGAACUUAAGC
Molecule: unclassified non-coding RNA, 316 nt
Filed under: plant metagenome
Description: partial contains 5.8S ribosomal RNA, internal transcribed spacer 2, and large subunit ribosomal RNA
Rfam family: 5.8S ribosomal RNA (bases 1-105)
Source: RNAcentral